AAACUUGAGAGUUUGAUCCUGGCUCAGAACGAACGCUGGCGGCGUGCCUAACACAUGCAAGUCGAACGAAGGUGCCCCUUCGGGGGUAUACUUAGUGGCGGACGGGUGAGUAACGCGUGGGAACCUGCCCUAGUGUGGGGAAUAACUACGGGAAACUGUAGCUAAUACCGCAUACGCCCUUCGGGGGAAAGGCUUCGGCCGCACCGGGAGGGGCCCGCGUCGGAUUAGCUUGUUGGUGGGGUAAUGGCCUACCAAGGCCGCGAUCCGUAACUGGUCUGAGAGGACGAUCAGUCACACUGGAACUGAGACACGGUCCAGACUCCUACGGGAGGCAGCAGUGGGGAAUUUUGCACAAUAGGGGAAACCCUGAUGCAGCGACGCCGCGUGGGUGAAGAAGGCCUUAGGGUUGUAAAACCCUUUCAGCAGGGAAGAUGAUGACGGUACCUGCAGAAGAAGCCCCGGCAAACUCCGUGCCAGCAGCCGCGGUAAUACGGAGGGGGCUAUCGUUGUUCGGAAUUACUGGGCGUAAAGCGCACGUAGGCGGUUUGGAAAGUUGGGUGUGAAAGCCCGGGGCUCAACCCCGGAACUGCACUCAAAACUUCCAGGCUAGAGAUCUGGAGAGGUGGGCGGAAUUCCGAGUGUAGUGGUGAAAUGCGUAGAUUAUCGGAAGAACACCGGUUGCGAAGGCGGCUCACUGGCCAGAGGCUGA
This 709-nucleotide ribosomal RNA is filed under the name Alphaproteobacteria bacterium. Its description in RNAcentral is "bacterial SSU rRNA". It matches the Rfam family "Bacterial small subunit ribosomal RNA", at positions 1 to 743 of the family's 1533-position model. Lineage: Bacteria; Pseudomonadati; Pseudomonadota; Alphaproteobacteria. The record is from RNAcentral.